Molecule: long non-coding RNA, 920 nt
Organism: Asparagus officinalis (garden asparagus)
Lineage: Eukaryota; Viridiplantae; Streptophyta; Magnoliopsida; Asparagales; Asparagaceae
Exons: 2
Source: RefSeq, a predicted model, not a curated record
AUGUAUACUCGGCCCGGUCACAGAGAGUGGAAUAUUUGGAGAUUUCCUAACGGGCAUGGUGUGGCCGAUGUCAUAUACCGUGAUGGCAAAUUCCUGGCACUCACCCACUUUGGCGAUGUUUAUGCUAUGGACAUUUGCUCUCCGUUGUCUUCUCCGAAGGCUUCGUUAUUUGCCAAGAGAUAUCGUGGUUAUAUCUUUUGCGAUACCAGCUACCUGGUGGACUCAUCAGGGGUUCUUUUGCAGGUCGUCAGGCAAGAAGAGUUCCUCAAGGAGGAAUCUAGAAACCGAACAUGCAAAAUUGAGAUUUGUAGUUUGGACCCUGAAACAGGGACAUGGAGUCUAGUAACGAGCUUGGGCGAUCACUCUCUCUUCGUAGGUUGUUGGUACUCUGCGUCCCUUUCGGCAAAGGAGAUUUCCUGGCUACAAGAGAACCGUGUCUAUUUUACCGAUGACAAUUGGGACAAGAUCCCAGUGAGGCAGGAAAGGGUUCGUGAUAUCGGAGUGUUCAACUUGAGCGAUGGCAGUUUCGGGACUUGCUAUCCUCCGGACAUGAGAUUGACAUGGCCUCCGCCUGCCUGGAUCACAUCUCCUCAAAUCUGAAUUAUAAAGCACAAUCCCACUGCUCUGGAGCUUUGAAGAUUGGUUGUCCCUCAACCAUUUGGGCACUGACAUCUUUAUCGUGCAAAAACAGCCACUCCUGUUUCUUAGAAGUGUAAUAUUAUGUGGCAUAUUGUGUGUUUAUUUAUCAGUCCUUUGUUAAUCUAUUGGAUGAAGGAUGCUACUGUAAAAGUAUCUGUAGAAGUUUGUUCUCCAAUAAUUACCAUUAUUUAUACUUUAUACUGUUGAUCCAUUAUUUUUUGGAUCUUUAUGGCAUGUAAGGUAAUUUUGUGAUAUUUACUGAGUCUUUGACAUAAUAUGAA